CAGCAAUGCAAUCAUUCUCUGCGAUCAUUAUCUCUCUAGCUUUUUUCAGCAUUGCAAAUUCGUUGGCAGCAAGAUUAUUAGAACCCCGCCGAUUGGGGUCGAGCGAUGAUUUUAUUAAAACAUCAUGUGAGGUUACAAGGUAUCCAGACCUAUGUUACCUAAGUCUCUCAGCUUAUGAUAGUACCAUCCAGGAUGACCCUACGCAGCUGGCCAAUGCAGCUCUCAACUUCACCCUGCAAAGUGCUGAAUCCACC
RNAcentral lists this unclassified non-coding RNA (254 nucleotides) under Hevea brasiliensis (rubber tree). Lineage: Eukaryota; Viridiplantae; Streptophyta; Magnoliopsida; Malpighiales; Euphorbiaceae. The record is from RNAcentral.